CUAUAACUAGCUUUUCAGGCACUGCCAUACAUGCACAUGUAUUAAUUGUUCUCUCUCCUUCCCAGUGUGAGGGAAAGCUGACAGUAGGCUACACUGGCACAACCAUCGAAGGAGUAAAGAUGCAAAUAUUGACAGAAAGAGUGUGAUCUCUACACCUAAACUGUGUAGGAUAAACUACUUUGAUGUUUUUUAACCAAGCCUGCAGAGGUCUCUCUCUGUUUUUCACUCCUUUUCUGUCCAUUGUAAAGGCUCCCAUACAUGCCAUGCAGGUCUGCUGCUGCUCCUGAUGCACUACAGAUGCAGCAGACAGAGGAGGUCACGGGUCAAACCAAGCCCACACCUGAGAGGCUUUUGCUGUUUCCAUUGGUUCAAACCUGUUACUCACCCAGUCUUCCCAGAUCUAUCUGCCUGUCCUGACCCUGAGCCUGCCUGCCGUUCUGUCCCUGUUUGACCCUGCCUUGGACUACGAACCACUGCCUGCCCUCGACCUGCUCUUUGCCUGCCCCUUUGUAUAAUAACAAUUCUGAGUGUCGAAUUAUCCAC
This 543-nucleotide long non-coding RNA is filed under the name Salmo salar (Atlantic salmon). RNAcentral's name for it is "lncRNA (ENSSSAG00000101642.1)". The record is from RNAcentral. Lineage: Eukaryota; Metazoa; Chordata; Actinopteri; Salmoniformes; Salmonidae.